GGUUCUGUGGUCUAGCGGUAUGAUUCCCGCUUAGGGUGCGGGAGGCCCCGGGUUCAAGUCCCGGCAGAGCCC
Molecule: transfer RNA, 72 nt
Filed under: Coemansia sp. Benny D115
Lineage: Eukaryota; Fungi; Kickxellomycota; Kickxellomycetes; Kickxellales; Kickxellaceae
Description: tRNA-Pro
Rfam family: tRNA
About the family: Transfer RNA (tRNA) molecules are approximately 80 nucleotides in length. Their secondary structure includes four short double-helical elements and three loops (D, anti-codon, and T loops).
Source: RNAcentral